AUGAAACGUUGUGAUGUUUGGCGAGCUGGAAUGACGAAGAUGACAGCCGGUGUGAAGAGAGUUCAAACAUCUGCAGAGAUGAAGGUGUUCGGACGGAUGCUUUUAGCUUCGUUACCAUCCUGUUCUUCUGUUUUCAGGUGGCAGGCAGAGGGGAAACCAAAUCAGUUGCCAACGGUAUGGGACACUAAUGUCUUGAAGGAGCCACUAAAGCUGGGGACCACGACAAUCCAAAAGUCUUCCUUUGACUUUUUUUCCCUGAAGAACCAAAUGAUGAUCCCCAACUCCACAGGAUGGCGGGCCGCUGUCCUCGCACUGUACUGAAACAGCAUGCAUUACCAGGGUUUGCCAAGUAUAGUGCCUUUGCACAAAAUUAUUAUUAUUAUUAAUAUUAUUGUUUAUUUUGCUUCCUAAAAAAAAAAAAGUCAAAACGCUGUGAAAUUUGGACGAUGGUCAUUAUCAAUCAGUUUAAAGAAAAACCCUGCCGGGAAGAAUUUAGAUUUCUGUAUUUCAGGCUAUGAUUUCAAUAACUUCCAAAGAGACGUUUGACACCAGUCCUCUCCUUCCUUCAGAAGAUUUUUUUCCUUUAAUUUAUAUUUAAAGCUUCACACAUGGUAUUUUAUUCAAGGUUCACCUGUUCAGGAUAGAUAUAAGCACUUAUAGAAGUAGCUGAACUCACUUAUUAUGUCUUAACAACAGUGCAGCAACGGUCUCAGUAAUAUAAGUUAGCACACGUGAUUAUUUUCAAUAUCAUACGUAUCAUUUAUAACAUCAGUAUACUCACAAAAAAAGGUAUUUUUCCUUCUUGUUUGUUUUUAGUAUCCAAAUCCAGAAGGCCAUUAUGACUUUUAUUAUCUUUUUGUCUCAUUUUAUUUAAGUUUUAAUGUGUUUUUUCUGGCUUUUUACUUAAAAAAAAAAAAAAAUCUUCAAACAUUCCUCUUUAAAAGCACGUGGUGCCUUCACUGCUUAAAGCUGUAGGUUUUUUUCUUUUAAUGUAAAGAAUAUGUGAAAACUUGUCACCUUUUUAUACUCUUGUCUUUACAGGAACUUCUUAAUUGUCGCUAUGCACAUUCCUAAAACAGAGUAAAAGGAUUGGAAGCAAACGAGCUUUGAAAGGGUCCAUGAACGCCUCGUAGCAACAGAAAGAUUUGGAGACUUUAGUGUUUAUUCACGCGCAGCAGCUGCAGCUUUGAUAAGAACACGAAGGGUUCAUCAGGGCAUUAAAUUGAUCGAUGUUUCUGCUCAAGAGUGACAAUCACAUUCCACGGCUCCUGAAAAGAGCAGGGGAGCUCGACCAAAACCUUUAGAAAAGUGAUCAAUGUGACGUUUGUGUUUUAAUAAUUUCUUAAUGCAGUUUGUUUUGUUUUUUUUUUUUUGUUUUUUUACAACUUUGUGUCCAUGUAUUUUUUUAUUCUUUUACUUAACCUGACACUUGUUUGUGUAGUGCUAAGCCUACAAAACAUGUUACCUGUAGUCUCUGCCAGUUUCAUAUGACUUUCAACUGGAUGAAUGUUUUUCAUAUUUUACCUUUGACUCAUCAGCAGCAAUAAAGACAAUAAAGACAUUGAAGUUUUCCAUGUUUUUGUUCCCUCUUCAUACAUGUUUCUAUUUUGUGUUUAGAAAGACAUCUUAACUAAGAAUUUAUUAAUCCCCUUAAACCCUUGUGGCUUUUCUCGUUGUGCUUCAGGGUCCCGUUUCAUGAAGC
This is a long non-coding RNA of Oryzias javanicus (javanese ricefish), 1702 nucleotides long. NCBI's taxonomy places the organism in Eukaryota, Metazoa, Chordata, Actinopteri, Beloniformes, Adrianichthyidae. The record is from Ensembl.